AGAAAGAGGGGUGUGCCUGUCAGACAGAGGAGUGGACUCCUCCACUCAUGUACAGAGUCCCUGUUUGACUCAACAUGUGCUGUUUUUCAUGGGUUUAUAACUCUCCGAAGCCGCAUUGAACACAAAGAGCUGUUGGAUUUCUUCCUUAAGAGGUAAAUGAAUACUUUUAUGUUUUCUCUGAAGAAUAAUUUAAAUCUAGAUAAACAUUUGAGAGAGGUUCAGCUUUUUAGGAUGUAUAUCUUAUUUGAAGAUUAAAAAAAUAAAGCUAAAAUUAUCCAACUUCAGUGAAAAAUAUAACAUGUUUGAGCUGAAGCUGAAGCUGCUCUUACAGUAACACUGCGCUAAUGUGCAUGAUUUAAAAUGACAGUAAAUUUUGCUUCAUAUAGCUGAAUUAUUUUUUCUUUAGGGAUGAAAGUCAGACAGGCCACUCAUAUCUUGGCAAGUUUCUCUUUAAACCUAACUACAUAACUUUUAUUUCAGAGCUCAAAGUGAGUGGUCAGAGUUUUUGGAUCCUCCAGAGCUGGUCUACUGAAGAGGAGCCUCGUUUUCUCCCAAGACAUACUGUCAGUUAGCACACUCUGCUGGUCGGACUGAUCGCACACGUGUUGGAGGUCAAAUUAAACAAAAAUGUGUAUGUCGGCAAUGAAGAUAUUCAUCAUCCUACAAGUAAACCCAUCAAUGAAGCUGAUGGGAGAGCUCUAUCACCCUAAUCAGCAAAAUCUUGCAGUAAAAACAGCAGUUUUCCCCUUGGAUGAGAACUUUCUGCUACAUGUGCUUCAUGGGAGGUUUGGGAAUGCAGGCCAGAGCUGUGGUGCAUUGUAGUUGCAUUGCAUGUCAUGCUCUCACAGUGCAAUGGAUCUGCUCUGCAACACAGAACUUGGUCAUAAAACACCUCAUUACUUCAAAAUAUCUGUUUUUACUGAACUCUCAGCUGCCUCAGUGUUAUUUUCUAAAUUGAAGGUCAUUCUGUUUACUCUGGGUGCCUCAUUGAUAAAGCCAAUGGAGAACAUUUCUUGUCAGCAUUGUUUUGAGUGUAUUUAUAAAGUUUUAAUGGACAAAAGCUUGUGUGCCCAGCCAGCAUAGAACUGAGGCCAUGAAGUUCAGCAGUGCUACAUUAGAGUGCAUCAUGAGCCUAUUUACCAACAAAGUGUUAUUGGGCCUUGUACAAAAGAAAAACUUGCUUUUUACGGCUGCAGUUGCUCUGAAUAUUAAAGUUAAUAAUACAAAACUAUAACAAAGUAUAAUCUUAAAUGCUGAAGAUAUGUAUUUAGUUUCAGAGGUGUAUUUACAAGGUACCCAUAAGAAAAGAUAGUCCAUACUGGCCAGCUGAAACAUUAAAUUGAAUUUGUAUAAAAGCAUAAAUGAUCGAACUAUAAUCAUGCAUUUUUGUACUAAUACCAAAGUAAAUGGAAAUGAAUAAUUCUGCAGAUGAAUUACUUUUACUUUGGCUUCCAUUUCUUACUAAUUCUUCUUUUCUUUGGGUAAAAUUUUGGGCAUAAUACCUGUUUUUAUCAUCAUUUCUACUUUUUUGCUACAGCCAAUUCUCUAGUUAGGCUGCGAUUCUUCUUGGAAAAUAUGGAACUCUAGAUUUUCUGACCUGAAGAGGUGCCAUCUCAGAACUAUGAGUGUAACAGCAUAUUCCAAGGGAAGCUGCUUGACUGUGAAAAUAAGGAAAAUUUCAGCAUGUGUGAAUAAUAAAUAGGUGGUUUUUGCCACAGUGUCAACAGGCAAAGGUCAAAUGUUGUGAUUCUUUUCCACUGAUUAAUCUGAUGUAGCCUACCAUAUGAACAGAUUGUCCUUGAUAUCGCUUUACAUAAGCUCUACAAAUGAGUUUUGACCAAUCAGAAUCAAGUAUUUAAGAGCCUGAGAGUUCAAAAGGACAGGCAUAAAUCGAGUGUAAACUGGUUUGUGAUGGUAUUGUACUUCUGUGUGUCCUUGUAAUGAAAGUUGUAACUAAAUUUGGUGUGAUUGACAUUCA
This 1978-nucleotide long non-coding RNA is filed under the name Xyrichtys novacula (pearly razorfish). The stretch from base 807 to 874 matches the Rfam family "mir-33 microRNA precursor family". The record is from RNAcentral. Lineage: Eukaryota; Metazoa; Chordata; Actinopteri; Labriformes; Labridae.